GCCUGGGUGGCUCAGUCGGUUAAGCGUCUAACUUCGGCUCAGGUCAUGAUCUCACAGUUCGUGAGUUCAAGCCCCACAUCAGGCU
Molecule: non-coding RNA, 85 nt
Organism: Felis catus (domestic cat)
Lineage: Eukaryota; Metazoa; Chordata; Mammalia; Carnivora; Felidae
Source: Rfam